RNAcentral lists this long non-coding RNA (1131 nucleotides) under Sus scrofa (pig). RNAcentral describes it as "lncRNA (ENSSSCG00005006426.1)". Lineage: Eukaryota; Metazoa; Chordata; Mammalia; Artiodactyla; Suidae. The record is from RNAcentral.
UUUUUUUUUUUUUUUUUUGGUCUUUUUAGGGCCACACCCAUGGCAUGUGGAAGUUCCCAGGCUAGGGGUGGAAUCGGAGCUACAGCUGCCGGCCUAUACCACAGCCACAGCAGCACCAGAUCCUUAACCCACGGAGUAAGGCUGGGGAUCAAACCUUCGUCCUCCUGGAUACUAGUCAGAUUCUUUUCCACUGUGUCACAGUGGGAACUCCAGAAGUGGAUUUUAUUUUUAAUAAAAAGUGUUCAAUAAAUCUCUGUGGAAAUGAAGGCACAACAAACAAGUAAGCAGAAAAGCAGGGCAUCCCAGAGCCCUCUGCUCCCUAGAAAUGUCUAUUCUGAAGUUCUUCUUUGCCCGGUGGGGUACCUCCAGAGAGACCCCCUUUCACCUUCUCUUCCACCCUCCCUCUCCCAAGCAUCUUCCCAGGAUAAGCUGUCCCAGGUUCCAGGACUAUCUCAGGGAAUGAAAGAACCGAAGCCCUGCCCUCCUGGACUUCUCCUUGGGGACACAGCGCUCACAUAUGACUACAUCUAAACUAACUGCCCCAAAACUGCAGAAGUAAGAUAAAUGCUACGUAGGAUAUAAUCACAGUGAUGGGGGCAGAAAGUAUUGGGAGAAGGUCACAGGAGAUGGGCUUCCAGGAAGUCCAGAGAGACUUCUGGCGACCCUUGAGCUGAGAUUUGAAGUAUGGGCAGCAUCCCGUAAAGACCUCAUUUUUUCUGGCAGAGGAGGGGACCGUUUUCUCCCGGUGGAUUGCAAGAGAGGUGAGCAAGAGGCAGAGAUGAGUCUAGGCUGAGGUUGGGCAGGGAAGGAGGAGGCCAGGCACGCAUGACCUUGUGGGACCAGGUGAGGACUUUGAUCCAACCUGGGCUGCUGGAUGGACUGAAGGGGGGAGCAGAGUUUGUGAGUUGGGGAGGGGAGGGGAGGGAAAUCAGGGCAUUUGCAGAAUGACUCCUAGGUUUCUGGCUGCAGCCACUGGGUGGGUUAAUGUGGACCCUUUUUCCAAGUCUGCUUUAGGGAGAUAUUGGUCAAGAUGCCCUUGAUCUUCUGCUCGGAUCUCUGUUUCCCCACUUGUUAAGUGAGUACCUUCUGAAAAGGCACAUCACCUCUUGGAGCCUCGGUUUCUCUACCUGU